Molecule: ribosomal RNA, 2930 nt
Filed under: Escherichia coli
Lineage: Bacteria; Pseudomonadati; Pseudomonadota; Gammaproteobacteria; Enterobacterales; Enterobacteriaceae
Description: 23S ribosomal RNA
Rfam family: Bacterial large subunit ribosomal RNA
Source: RNAcentral
GGGUUGUGAGGUUAAGCGACUAAGCGUACACGGUGGAUGCCCUGGCAGUCAGAGGCGAUGAAGGACGUGCUAAUCUGCGAUAAGCGUCGGUAAGGUGAUAUGAACCGUUAUAACCGGCGAUUUCCGAAUGGGGAAACCCAGUGUGUUUCGACACACUAUCAUUAACUGAAUCCAUAGGUUAAUGAGGCGAACCGGGGGAACUGAAACAUCUAAGUACCCCGAGGAAAAGAAAUCAACCGAGAUUCCCCCAGUAGCGGCGAGCGAACGGGGAGCAGCCCAGAGCCUGAAUCAGUGUGUGUGUUAGUGGAAGCGUCUGGAAAGGCGCGCGAUACAGGGUGACAGCCCCGUACACAAAAAUGCACAUAUUGUGAGCUCGAUGAGUAGGGCGGGACACGUGGUAUCCUGUCUGAAUAUGGGGGGACCAUCCUCCAAGGCUAAAUACUCCUGACUGACCGAUAGUGAACCAGUACCGUGAGGGAAAGGCGAAAAGAACCCCGGCGAGGGGAGUGAAAAAGAACCUGAAACCGUGUACGUACAAGCAGUGGGAGCCUCUUUUAUGGGGUGACUGCGUACCUUUUGUAUAAUGGGUCAGCGACUUAUAUUCUGUAGCAAGGUUAACCGAAUAGGGGAGCCGAAGGGAAACCGAGUCUUAACUGGGCGUUAAGUUGCAGGGUAUAGACCCGAAACCCGGUGAUCUAGCCAUGGGCAGGUUGAAGGUUGGGUAACACUAACUGGAGGACCGAACCGACUAAUGUUGAAAAAUUAGCGGAUGACUUGUGGCUGGGGGUGAAAGGCCAAUCAAACCGGGAGAUAGCUGGUUCUCCCCGAAAGCUAUUUAGGUAGCGCCUCGUGAAUUCAUCUCCGGGGGUAGAGCACUGUUUCGGCAAGGGGGUCAUCCCGACUUACCAACCCGAUGCAAACUGCGAAUACCGGAGAAUGUUAUCACGGGAGACACACGGCGGGUGCUAACGUCCGUCGUGAAGAGGGAAACAACCCAGACCGCCAGCUAAGGUCCCAAAGUCAUGGUUAAGUGGGAAACGAUGUGGGAAGGCCCAGACAGCCAGGAUGUUGGCUUAGAAGCAGCCAUCAUUUAAAGAAAGCGUAAUAGCUCACUGGUCGAGUCGGCCUGCGCGGAAGAUGUAACGGGGCUAAACCAUGCACCGAAGCUGCGGCAGCGACACUAUGUGUUGUUGGGUAGGGGAGCGUUCUGUAAGCCUGUGAAGGUGUGCUGUGAGGCAUGCUGGAGGUAUCAGAAGUGCGAAUGCUGACAUAAGUAACGAUAAAGCGGGUGAAAAGCCCGCUCGCCGGAAGACCAAGGGUUCCUGUCCAACGUUAAUCGGGGCAGGGUGAGUCGACCCCUAAGGCGAGGCCGAAAGGCGUAGUCGAUGGGAAACAGGUUAAUAUUCCUGUACUUGGUGUUACUGCGAAGGGGGGACGGAGAAGGCUAUGUUGGCCGGGCGACGGUUGUCCCGGUUUAAGCGUGUAGGCUGGUUUUCCAGGCAAAUCCGGAAAAUCAAGGCUGAGGCGUGAUGACGAGGCACUACGGUGCUGAAGCAACAAAUGCCCUGCUUCCAGGAAAAGCCUCUAAGCAUCAGGUAACAUCAAAUCGUACCCCAAACCGACACAGGUGGUCAGGUAGAGAAUACCAAGGCGCUUGAGAGAACUCGGGUGAAGGAACUAGGCAAAAUGGUGCCGUAACUUCGGGAGAAGGCACGCUGAUAUGUAGGUGAAGUCCCUCGCGGAUGGAGCUGAAAUCAGUCGAAGAUACCAGCUGGCUGCAACUGUUUAUUAAAAACACAGCACUGUGCAAACACGAAAGUGGACGUAUACGGUGUGACGCCUGCCCGGUGCCGGAAGGUUAAUUGAUGGGGUCAGCGCAAGCGAAGCUCUUGAUCGAAGCCCCGGUAAACGGCGGCCGUAACUAUAACGGUCCUAAGGUAGCGAAAUUCCUUGUCGGGUAAGUUCCGACCUGCACGAAUGGCGUAAUGAUGGCCAGGCUGUCUCCACCCGAGACUCAGUGAAAUUGAACUCGCUGUGAAGAUGCAGUGUACCCGCGGCAAGACGGAAAGACCCCGUGAACCUUUACUAUAGCUUGACACUGAACAUUGAGCCUUGAUGUGUAGGAUAGGUGGGAGGCUUAGAAGUGUGGACGCCAGUCUGCAUGGAGCCGACCUUGAAAUACCACCCUUUAAUGUUUGAUGUUCUAACGUGGACCCGUGAUCCGGGUUGCGGACAGUGUCUGGUGGGUAGUUUGACUGGGGCGGUCUCCUCCUAAAGAGUAACGGAGGAGCACGAAGGUUGGCUAAUCCUGGUCGGACAUCAGGAGGUUAGUGCAAUGGCAUAAGCCAGCUUGACUGCGAGCGUGACGGCGCGAGCAGGUGCGAAAGCAGGUCAUAGUGAUCCGGUGGUUCUGAAUGGAAGGGCCAUCGCUCAACGGAUAAAAGGUACUCCGGGGAUAACAGGCUGAUACCGCCCAAGAGUUCAUAUCGACGGCGGUGUUUGGCACCUCGAUGUCGGCUCAUCACAUCCUGGGGCUGAAGUAGGUCCCAAGGGUAUGGCUGUUCGCCAUUUAAAGUGGUACGCGAGCUGGGUUUAGAACGUCGUGAGACAGUUCGGUCCCUAUCUGCCGUGGGCGCUGGAGAACUGAGGGGGGCUGCUCCUAGUACGAGAGGACCGGAGUGGACGCAUCACUGGUGUUCGGGUUGUCAUGCCAAUGGCACUGCCCGGUAGCUAAAUGCGGAAGAGAUAAGUGCUGAAAGCAUCUAAGCACGAAACUUGCCCCGAGAUGAGUUCUCCCUGACCCUUUAAGGGUCCUGAAGGAACGUUGAAGACGACGACGUUGAUAGGCCGGGUGUGUAAGCGCAGCGAUGCGUUGAGCUAACCGGUACUAAUGAACCGUGAGGCUUAACCUUACAACGCCGAAGGUGUUU